RNAcentral lists this ribosomal RNA (252 nucleotides) under uncultured bacterium. Its description in RNAcentral is "partial 16S ribosomal RNA". It matches the Rfam family "Bacterial small subunit ribosomal RNA", at positions 524 to 777 of the family's 1533-position model. The record is from RNAcentral.
UACGAAGGGGCUAGCGUUGCUCGGAAUCACUGGGCGUAAAGGGUGCGUAGGCGGGUUUUAAGUCAGAGGUGAAAUCCUGGAGCUCAACUCCAGAACUGCCUUUGAUACUGAAAGUCUUGAGUAUGGGAGAGGUGAGUGGAACUGCGAGUGUAGAGGUGAAAUUCGUAGAUAUUCGCAAGAACACCAGUGGCGAAGGCGGCUCACUGGCCCGGUACUGACGCUGAGGCGCGAAAGCGUGGGGAGCAAACAGGG